CAACAGGGCCCACCACCAAAGAAGAGAGGGCGUCCUCCAAAGAAUAGAGACAUAGACAACUCGCCCAAGAAAGCGCCAGCUGCAGCACCUCCAUCCGAGUCUCCUGCCCAAGAAACUACCUCAAAGAUGUCAUCGCCGCCCACUAAGGCUCUGGCUGAUGUCAAACAAGAGAAGAAGUCUCCUAUAAAAGAGUCACGUAGUUCAAAGAAAUCUCAGUUGAAGCAAAAUGAAAUAGAACUUCCCAAAGAGAGUGAUCUAGCAAGUAAGCAGACAUUCCUUAAACUGAAAACGGACUUAGAAUCGGGUACUCUAAAUGCAGAUGAUUAAAAGAG
Molecule: long non-coding RNA, 332 nt
Organism: Penaeus monodon (black tiger shrimp)
Lineage: Eukaryota; Metazoa; Arthropoda; Malacostraca; Decapoda; Penaeidae
Exons: 3
Source: RefSeq, a predicted model, not a curated record